UUUUUUUUUUUUUUUUUUUUUUUUUUUUUGCUUUUUUAGGACCACACCCGUGGCAUAUGGAGGUUCCCACCCUAGGGGUUGAAUCAGAGCUGUAGCUGCUGGCCUACGCCACAGCCACAGUAAUGCCAGAUCCAAGUCGCAUCUGCAACCUACACCACAGCUCACGGCAGUGCCAGAUCCUUAACCCACUAAGUGAGGCCAGGGAUUGAACCUGCAUCCUCAUGAAUCUUAGAUUCGUUUCCGCUGCACCACAAUGGGUACGCCCGCAAGUUCUAAUUUUUAUAAUUUCCCCACUUCGAAAAAGCCCAUUGUUCAAAAACAGUAAAAAAAAAAAAAUAGUAAUAAUAAUUCAAAAGUCAAAACCCUUAUUCUAAUUUCUCUCCACCCACUGGUCUGGGUAGCAGAAUGAGCAGGCUGGAAUUAGAUAAGUAUUUCCAAAUGGCCUUCACACUUGCUAUUUUCCAAGACCCUUAUAAUAACUUUGGGAUUUUCUAUCUAAAAUUGAAAUAUGAGGAGUUCCCAUCAUGGUGCAGUGGAAACGAAUCCAACUAGGAAUCAUGAGAUUGCUGGAACAUUGACUGCUUCCUCACUGUUUCUCCACUCCUGUAGCCCCUCCAGGACCCACCAGCAGGAAGAGACUGGGAUAAAGUGAGUGAGGCACUUGCCUUGGGGCACACAAUUUAAGGUGACAUCAAAAACUCAAUAAUCAAGAUAGUGUAUUAAUGUGCUUUUUUUAAAAAAAUGAAUGCAGAAAAAGAUAUGGUGAACAAAUUAUCACAAUAUUAAACAGAAGGAGGGGUAACAGUGUGGGAAUGAGCCAUAUUUCAGUAUGAGGCAAAAGGAAACAUCAGAAAUACUGAUCUCGCAGGCCGUGAGGUCUCCUACAGCUUGUUCAAAGCCUGGGUCCAGCACACGAACACCUGUGUAGCAGAGGGCAUCUCCGUUCAUGGCAUUGAUGAAACAGGUGGUGACAUCUGCAAAUUCCACCUUACCCUCCAUUUGUCCAGAUCUUCAUCCUUGGGUGUCCCAGUCUGUCAAUACUCCCUUCAAUAUCCAGAUGUCAUUCUGCUGGGCCCAGAGAAACUUCAUGCUCAGCCCUCAAUGCAUAAACCAGACACCGUGGCAACGAGCCGCACAGAGGCUCUAGCAACAGCCCCAUACUCUGCAUCGCUGUUGUGGUUCCGCUUCUUUGACUGAUAAAGGCGUGAUUACUGUAUACGAACUAGAUUAUGUCAACUAGGAAUACAACACAAGUGGAUCCAGGUGUGGUGAAGUCAAAUUUUACAGAGAAACAUCUACAGCUUUUUCUUGGUCGGGACAAGCCAUCUCUUAGACCUGGUCAAGAUGUUGUCUGGUGCGUUCUUUUGCUAAAUGACCAAAGGCUUCUUAUCAAUGGAGCCUACUGGUUAUAUUCCUUAGAAAAUAGAAAACUCAGAUGUCCCUGUGUCUCUACCAGGACAAAAGUAUUCCUCUUCAAGCUUAGUUUGGUUUUUUUCUUUAUCAGCAAUAAAGACAAAGCCAUAGUCCUUGGAAGAAGGCAUAGAACGUGCUUAAUAAACUCAAAUUCCACAAACCUGAACCCCCUUGGAGGAAGGUAUUGUUAUGUUGCAAAGUUCAGUUAUACUUAAAAUACAAUUAAAAGAGAAAAUUGUUUAUCUUUAAGGACUUUUGUGAGGGUUCCAAGCUAUGAAACCAUGGAUCCAUCUCUGAGUAAUCCUGACAUUGUUAUGAGUCUUAGAGCUGGUUAAGGUGGACAGACUAGGCUCGUGAUCAUGAAAAAACUCUCACACAAUCUUUGGGGAAGACACCAGAUUUUUUUUUAUGGAAUUUGGACUCACCUGGAUAAACUACAGUUGAUGCAAAUCCUUGCUCCUAAGAUUUGCUAUGAGAAGAACCAGGACACAAAGAGGCAGACACCCAAAGACAGCUGUUGACGCUUAGAGACCUCACUGUCAAGGGAACCAUUCUCGACACACCUAGACCAGGGUUUCUCCAUCUCAGCACGAUUGGUAUCUUUGUGGGAGAGCUCUUAGGCGGGUGGGGGGCUCUUCUACACACUGUAGGAUAUUGAGCAGUACCCCUGGCUUCCACCAGCCCCACCUUCCCCAGUGAUGCAACCAAAUGUAACUCUAGACAUUGCCGAAUGUCUGGACAAAACUGCCCUCGAUAGAACCGCUGGUGUAGAUGACCACACCGUCUCCUAGCUACCAGGGCCGAUGCUGGGGUAGCAAAGCCAGAAAUGAAGGCCAGCCCAAGGGUGGAUAUGGAGAGUUCAGAGGCAGAUAUGGAUGAAGGCUGCCUACAGAAUAAAGGCAGAUUGGAGACAGGGAGGGGCUGACACCAAGUCCAUCACCAGGAUACCAUUUGCCAGAUAAGAGUCAAGUCAAGCUCAAAGGAGGGGCAAACCAGAACCCGGCACCAUAUUUCACGCUGAUGUGGUAGACAC
Molecule: long non-coding RNA, 2446 nt
Filed under: Sus scrofa (pig)
Lineage: Eukaryota; Metazoa; Chordata; Mammalia; Artiodactyla; Suidae
Description: lncRNA (ENSSSCG00030034220.1)
Source: RNAcentral